Molecule: transfer RNA, 72 nt
Filed under: Camelus bactrianus (Bactrian camel)
Lineage: Eukaryota; Metazoa; Chordata; Mammalia; Artiodactyla; Camelidae
Also listed under: 1 other name
Rfam family: tRNA
About the family: Transfer RNA (tRNA) molecules are approximately 80 nucleotides in length. Their secondary structure includes four short double-helical elements and three loops (D, anti-codon, and T loops).
Source: Rfam by way of RNAcentral
GGAGGUGGAGCUCAGUGGUAGAGCUAAUGCUUGGUGUGCAUGAGGUCCUUGGUUCAAUCCCCAGUGCCUCUG